GACGAACGCUGGCGGCGUGCUUAACACAUGCAAGUCGAACGGAAAGGCCCUGCUUUUGUGGGGUGCUCGAGUGGCGAACGGGUGAGUAACACGUGAGUAACCUGCCCUUGACUUUGGGAUAACUUCAGGAAACUGGGGCUAAUACCGGAUAGGAGCUCCUGCUGCAUGGUGGGGGUUGGAAAGUUUCGGCGGUUGGGGAUGGACUCGCGGCUUAUCAGCUUGUGGGUGGGGUAGUGGCUGACCAAGGAUUUGACGGGUAGCCGGCCUGAGAGGGUGACCGGCCACAUUGGGACUGAGGUACGGCCCAGACGCCUCCGGGAGGAGGCAGUGGGGAGUAUUGCACAAUGGGCGGAAGCAUGAUGCAGCAACGCCGCGUGCGGGAUGACGGCGGCCGGGUUGUAGACCGCUUCCGCCUGUGACGAAGCGUCAGUGACGGUAAUGGGUAAAGAAGCACCGGCUAACUACGUG
Molecule: ribosomal RNA, 468 nt
Filed under: uncultured bacterium
Lineage: Bacteria
Description: partial 16S ribosomal RNA
Rfam family: Bacterial small subunit ribosomal RNA
Source: RNAcentral